GCGGCGGACGGGUGAGUAACACGUGGGCAACCUGCCCUGCAGACUGGGAUAACUUCGGGAAACCGGAGCUAAUACCGGAUAACACCGAAAACCGCAUGGUUUUUGGUUGAAAGGCGGCUUUUAGCUGUCACUGCAGGAUGGGCCCGCGGCGCAUUAGCUAGUUGGUGAGGUAACGGCUCACCAAGGCGACGAUGCGUAGCCGACCUGAGAGGGUGACCGGCCACACUGGGACUGAGACACGGCCCAGACUCCUACGGGAGGCAGCAGUAGGGAAUCUUCCGCAAUGGACGAAAGUCUGACGGAGCAACGCCGCGUGAGCGAAGAAGGUCUUCGGAUCGUAAAGCUCUGUUGUCAGGGAAGAACAAGUGCCGUUCGAACAGGGCGGUACCUUGACGGUACCUGACGAGGAAGCCCCGGCUAACUACCUGCCAGCAGCCCCGGUAAUAC
This 447-nucleotide ribosomal RNA is filed under the name Aeribacillus sp. G23C019. RNAcentral's name for it is "bacterial SSU rRNA". It matches the Rfam family "Bacterial small subunit ribosomal RNA", at positions 95 to 526 of the family's 1533-position model. Lineage: Bacteria; Bacillati; Bacillota; Bacilli; Caryophanales; Bacillaceae. The record is from RNAcentral.